Molecule: ribosomal RNA, 422 nt
Filed under: uncultured bacterium
Lineage: Bacteria
Description: bacterial SSU rRNA
Rfam family: Bacterial small subunit ribosomal RNA
Source: RNAcentral
UAAGGAAUAUUGGACAAUGGAGGCAACUCUGAUCCAGCCAUGCCGCGUGAAGGAAUAAGGCCCUAUGGGUUGUAAACUUCUUUUAGACGGGACAAAACCCCUUUACGUGUAAAGGGUUGAUGGUACUGUCAGAAUAAGCAUCGGCUAACUUCGUGCCAGCAGCCGCGGUAAUACGAAGGAUGCAAGCGUUAUCCGGAAUUAUUGGGUUUAAAGGGUGCGUAGGCGGACUAAUAAGUCAGUGGUGAAUGCCUGCAGCUUGACUGCAGAAUUGCCAUUGAUACUGUUAGUCUUGAGUACAGUUGAGGUAGGCGGAAUGUGUCAUGUAGCGGUGAAAUGCUUAGAUAUGACACAGAACACCGAUUGCGAAGGCAGCUUGCUAAGCUGUAACUGACGCUGAGGCGCGAAAGCGUGGGGAGCAAACA